Molecule: ribosomal RNA, 572 nt
Filed under: Sciodrepoides watsoni
Lineage: Eukaryota; Metazoa; Arthropoda; Insecta; Coleoptera; Leiodidae
Description: SSU rRNA
Rfam family: Eukaryotic small subunit ribosomal RNA
Source: RNAcentral
AGUCAUAUGCUUGUCUCAAAGAUUAAGCCAUGCAUGUCUCAGUACAAGCCAAAUUAAGGUGAAACCGCGAAAGGCUCAUUAAAUCAGUUAUGGUUCCUUAGAUCGUACCCACAUUACUUGGAUAACUGUGGUAAUUCUAGAGCUAAUACAUGCCAACAGAACUCUGACCGGAAACGGAAAGAGUGCUUUUAUUAGAUCAAAACCAAUCGGUGGCGGGCUUGCUCGUCAUCGUGAAGCUUGGUGACUCUGAAUAACUUUUGCUGAUCGCACGGUCUCGCACCGGCGACGCAUCUUUCAAAUGUCUGCCUUAUCAACUGUCGAUGGUAGGUUCUGCGCCUACCAUGGUUGUAACGGGUAACGGGGAAUCAGGGUUCGAUUCCGGAGAGGGAGCCUGAGAAACGGCUACCACAUCCAAGGAAGGCAGCAGGCGCGCAAAUUACCCACUCCCGGCACGGGGAGGUAGUGACGAAAAAUAACGAUACGGGACUCAUCCGAGGCCCCGUAAUCGGAAUGAGUACACUCUAAACCCUUUAACCAAGGUCAAUUGGAGGGCAAGUCUGGUGCCAGCAGCC